RNAcentral lists this ribosomal RNA (307 nucleotides) under uncultured bacterium. RNAcentral describes it as "partial 16S ribosomal RNA". It matches the Rfam family "Bacterial small subunit ribosomal RNA", at positions 506 to 809 of the family's 1533-position model. The record is from RNAcentral.
AGACAGCAGCCGCCGCGGUAAUACGGAGGGUGCAAGCGUUAAUCGGAAUUACUGGGCGUAAAGCGCACGCAGGCGGUCUGUCAAGUCAGAUGUGAAAUCCCCGGGCUUAACCUGGGAACUGCAUUUGUGACUGGCAAGCUAGAGUGUGGCAGAGGGGGGUGGAAUUCCGCGUGUAGCAGUGAAAUGCGUAGAGAACGGGAGGAACAUCAGUGGCGAAGGCGGCCAUCUGGGACAACACUGACGCUGAGGCACGAAAGCGUGGGGAGCAAACAGGAUUAGAUACCCCGGUAGUCCCUGUCUCUUAUAA